AAAGAGUGUAUUCUUAUAUUGUUUAUGUUUAACAUUUGGCCGUACAUCUUAUUUAAAACGUUUUAUAAUUAGUAUUUUAUUGUUAUUAGAUAAUAAAAUAUAAAUAAUAUUUAUGUGUGACUAUUUUUAAUUUUUUCAUAAAUUUUUAAAUAAGAUAAAUGGUCAACGUUAGACAUAUAAAUUACUUAUGCACUUAAA
RNAcentral lists this microRNA precursor (198 nucleotides) under Oryza brachyantha (malo sina). RNAcentral describes it as "MIR812 microRNA precursor family". It matches the Rfam family "MIR812 microRNA precursor family". Lineage: Eukaryota; Viridiplantae; Streptophyta; Magnoliopsida; Poales; Poaceae. The record is from Rfam by way of RNAcentral.